Molecule: ribosomal RNA, 395 nt
Filed under: uncultured bacterium
Lineage: Bacteria
Description: partial 16S ribosomal RNA
Rfam family: Bacterial small subunit ribosomal RNA
Source: RNAcentral
UGGGGAAUAUUGCACAAUGGGCGCAAGCCUGAUGCAGCCAUGCCGCGUGUAUGAAGAAGGCCUUCGGGUUGUAAAGUACUUUCAGCGAGGAGGAAGGCGUUGUGGUUAAUAACCGCAACGAUUGACGUUACUCGCAGAAGAAGCACCGGCUAACUCCGUGCCAGCAGCCGCGGUAAUACGGAGGGUGCAAGCGUUAAUCGGAAUUACUGGGCGUAAAGCGCACGCAGGCGGUCUGUCAAGUCGGAUGUGAAAUCCCCGGGCUCAACCUGGGAACUGCAUCCGAAACUGGCAGGCUAGAGUCUUGUAGAGGGGGGUAGAAUUCCAGGUGUAGCGGUGAAAUGCGUAGAGAUCUGGAGGAAUACCGGUGGCGAAGGCGGCCCCCUGGACAAAGACUG